ACGUGUCCGAGCUGCUUCUUCGUUUCAAAUACAUUUGGCGCCGCUGCCUAUUGUUUGAGCCUGUGCUCACGAUGAAAACACGCAUCGCAGAAACCUGAAAGCCCGCCAAAAGAGCUCUAAAAACCGCAUCCCAGACCUGCCGGCAGACUUCCGAGCUAAGCCUGAUUAAACAAAAACAUUUGAUCCGGCGGAAUAAUGUGUUUGAUAUUACAUCCCAUGUCAACAAGGAACUGCGCUGUCUGUCUUCGCCCCCAACAGGUUUUAUUCUUCCGGGUUUUUCAAAUCUUUACCAACCCGCGUCCGAUCGUAAUACCCCGAUCACAACAAAUAGUUGAUCGUGCUCCGAUGGCUCCAAACAUCAGCCGGCAAGGAAGUUACGUUUUUCGCUUCUAUAUUUUGACCCAAGUGAUGGCUGGUCGUGGUUCAUCAGCGUUUGUUUUGAAACUGAUGGGUACCACAAGGCAUGAAGGAGGUGACUUGCAGCAGCAAGGCACUGCAAGCCUUCGCAGCAACUGGCUAGCCAGUGCUGCUCUGUUCUGAACUGCACUGCGUGUCAUGCGGAGGUUUUGUGCAAGCUCUCUGGGCGGCGACGCUAGCCACGAUUGGCUUCGUGGAUGCACAGAAAUACUCAAGGCGCUUGACGUCUGUGGCUUAUCUGUAUUGUUUUUCCCGGUACCACGGCAUGAAGGAGCUGGCCUCCCUCCCUUCCAUCAGCUGCGAGAUACUACAAGCACUGGGCUACAGCUGCAGCUAGCCCAUGGGUACCGUUCUGCGUCCUGUACUGCAUCUAGUUCGAAAGGCCAUGUGAAAGGCAGGUGUGGUCUUUAUGGGCUCUGUCACUAUGUGCAUUUUCUGCAGCUUUUUCGGGGCAACUUCAUAUUAAGAUUCAAUACGGACUCGAGUGAGAGGGGGGCAUUCUGAGAAAGCCAGCCUCUUUGUUAAACCAUUGGGACUGGUAUUAUAUCUACAGAGUUUAUUUACACCUUUUGUUAUGUACUUUUUUAUUUAUUUUUAUUUUACUAGUUACUUAUACUUCAAUCUGACACGACAGCCACCAAAAAUGGGGAAAGGACAAAAAUGUUGACAUAUUGGCCUUUUUGUUUUCUGGCAGUUUGUUUGAAGAGCCAAUGUUGGGGGCCGUCAUUCGUGUUAUUUUUCCCACACGCACGUCCAGCCUAUGUUUACGUAA
Molecule: long non-coding RNA, 1189 nt
Organism: Ixodes scapularis (black-legged tick)
Lineage: Eukaryota; Metazoa; Arthropoda; Arachnida; Ixodida; Ixodidae
Exons: 3
Source: RefSeq, a predicted model, not a curated record